AUUGAACGCUGGCGGCAGGCCUAACACAUGCAAGUCGAACGAGAGGCGGAAGGGUGAGUAAAGUAUGGGAAAAUGACCGAUGGAGAGGGAUAGCUACAGGAAACGGUAGAUAAUACAGCAUACUCGCGGCUAUGCGCAGAUGUGAUUAGCUGGUAGGUGGGGUAAAGGGUCACCUCGGCGACGAUCCCUCGCUGGUGGGAGAGGAUGACCAGCCACACUGGAACUGUGAUACGGUCCAGAAUCGUACGUGAGGGAGCAGUUGGGAAUAUUGCACAAUGGGCGCAAGCCUGAGUCAGCCAUGCCGCGUGUAUGAAGAAGGCCUUCGGGUUGUAAAGUACUUUCAGCGGGGAGGCGUUACCCACAGAAGAAGCACCGGCUAACUCCGUGCCAGCAGCCGCGGUAAUUC
This 406-nucleotide ribosomal RNA is filed under the name uncultured bacterium. RNAcentral describes it as "partial 16S ribosomal RNA". It matches the Rfam family "Bacterial small subunit ribosomal RNA", at positions 30 to 526 of the family's 1533-position model. The record is from RNAcentral.